CUGUUGGAAGUACCAUCAGAAGGACCCUACAGCCAGCCUGGCUUGUCCCAGUCAGACCAGCUGGCAAUGGCUCAUUCAUUUUAGUGUUUAUUGUAGUCCCCCUGGUCCCCAUUUCCAGUCCUGGGUUGUGUGUGUUUCAGGGGCAGACUGGAGCAGGACCCCCAAGUCCCUGCCAUACCACCCAUAAUCACUGGAGGGUCUUCCUCUGUCUCAGUCUCCACCUUUCAGCCUCUAGCCAGCUGUUGCCCUAAUUCCCCUCUAUUAGUCCUGCAAGUUCAAUCCACUUCUUCCAGGAAGCCUGCCAGACUGCCCCAUCUGGCAGAUGAAGAAGUUAUUCUUUGUUGAGCCAUUGCAGCGUUGGAACUGGGAGAAGGAAGGGGCUUGGAGGCCCAGCCACAUUGUACCUCUGCUGCUGCUGCUGCUGCUGCUAAGUCGCUUCAGUCGUGUCCGACUCUGUGAGACCCCAUACCAGGAUGUGCUCUCUGAAACCAAUCAGAGUAAGAGUUACUCAUGUGCUGUGACUGCGGAGCUGGUGAGCCUUGGAGCCUCAGGGUAAGUUCUCUGAGUCUCAGAAUUGGUCCCCAGACCAGCAGCAUCACCCAGGAACUUGUUAGAAAUGUCAACUCUAACACCAGACCUGCAUGAGACACUCUGGAGGAGCGGGAGCAAUCCUCUUGUGAUCCUGAUGCUUCAGAAGAUCAUGAACCACUGGGCUCAACGAUGCUAGUUCCUCGCAUCCACACUCAGACACCUGUCCCCCAGCAAGCUCAGGAAGCCCCACAUUCCCCACACUGGCUUUGGUUCACCCUGAGGAGGGUUCCUGCCCCCAAGACUCAGUAUCUCCCCAGAGAAGGCGGGGCUAACAGCUCUACCGCCCUUUCAGGUCCUAUCACCUGCCUCAAAUAUGUCUCCUGCCUUUCUACCAUGUCACCCCUUGAUGCCCUUGAGACUGCCCCCCUGGAAGCCUCUUGGGUCUUCUAUAGAGCAGGGACCCUACCUGCCACCUCUUCCUUUGCUCACUUCCCCACCAAGACCCAGCCCUCAUUCACCUGGCCUCCUCACCCUCCAUGUGUCUGGGGCAAGCCCUAAAUCUUUCCUUGUGUGGCUCUAGGGAAGUGGCUUCUUCCUUCUCAGGGCUUGUGUGUGCCCUCUCAUAAGGAGGAGAAGCCCUCCCAGAACCUGCCUAAGGUCCUGGACAAGGUCAGUGGAUUGCAAGGCAGUGGGCAGUAGGCCACGAACACUGCUCCUCAAGUCCCAGCAAGUGGUCAGACCCCUGAGGUGCCAGGCUUACCGUCCACCCCAGGAGGGGCACAGUCCUCCACCCCUCCUCCUUCCCAGUGGGGUAGUCACAGCAGCUGCCAUCUUCCCUGAUGAAAGCACCUACUGUUCCAGAACCAGCUGCCUGACUCCAUGCUCUGCAAGCUUUGACCCCUGUCUCAUUAAUUCACCCCUCCCCCAACAGUCUGAGGCGCACCCUCAUCCCAGUGUACAGGUUCAGAACUGAUGCCCAGAGAAGUUCUGUGGUUUGACUGCAAUCUCACAGCCAGUACAAGAAUGAAAUUCCAACCCAGAUCUAACUCUUCCUUAACCUCCAAGAGAACAAGAAGGCCACCACUGGAGCAAGGAGCAAUGAGAGGCGGGAAAGCAGAGGCAGCCUGGCUGCUGGCCCCACUCCUUACCAGUGAAUGGCUGUGGGUCUAUCUCAGCUGCCCCAUUUGUAUACUGGGAAUAAUCCCUGCCCUGCCAACCUCACUGGAUUCAAGAACAGAGGUGGAAGCGCAUGGAAAACUGUGGCGGUGUCCAAACGCUGGAACCGAGUGCGUACCAUGCUUUACAGUUUACGAAGUACACGGUAUACGAAGCGCAUCCCUGUGUGACCUCCAGUCACCCUGUCUGAAGCUCAUCAACCCUCUCCAGCAUCAUCGCAAACUGAGGCGGAGGAGUCAGAUGCUAGACGGCAGGGGCCAGGCCAGGAGCCGGGUGCGCCUCCGGCCACGAGCGCAAGGGGGCGCCAUGGGCUCACAGCGAGCUGGGGCGGCGGAACCCACCGCGAGAGAUCGCGUUCCGUACUCUUACAGCAACCAGGCUCCGCAGAGCGCCGGGGGGUGCCCGGGUUCCAGGGGCGACCAGGACGGGUGGAGGAGAGUUGCGCCGAGUCUGAAUUUGAAAUGUGAAGUCCGGAAAGUCAGCUGCCUCUUCCCGCUGUGUGACCUGCCCUGAGACGUUCGACCUCUCUGAGCGUCAGUUAUAAAAUACAAAAAUAUAACUCCCUCCACCGAUGCUGCUCUAACCCAGUCCGCCAAAGGCUCCUGAAACCACAAAAUGAGAACGCUGAUUCAGACUAGCAGUGCAAACUCUAAACCCUCAUCCACACGUAGAAAUUCGCUCCUUUCUCACUCUUUUUGGACUCUGCAUCCGAAGCCCCUCGGAGUCAGCACGCAGGGAUCUCCGCAUUCCCAUUUUACAGAAGCGCAAACGAAGGCUCAGAGAGGUCGCCCUUUCGGGGGUCUUGUGGCUCAUUCGGGCAUACACGGAAUGGUCUCCUGACACCAGCACCGGACUGUCCCUUCCUGGUCCAGCGGCCUCAGGUCCCUGGCAGCACUGACCUCUGCCGACUGGUUCUUAGGCUCCAGGCCUGAGAGCCGCGCCGGUUGAACGCACCCUCUCCGCCCAGGGAACCGGCUCUAUCCCAGUCCCCAGGACCUCGCGUCGCCUGUGUGCCCACGCCACCACCCAGCGUCUACACCUCCGCCACGUGCUGGGCUGUGGCAGAGCCAGGGCUCAGAGAGGUCGGGGCGCUUGUUCCAGGCGGCGCAGCAGGCCAGGGGAACCGCAGCGCAGGAUUGGGGUCGGCUCUAAAACGGAACUGCGGAGGCAGGAGCGGAACGCUUCCGACUCCCGGGUCCUCUUUGUCGGAUCGCGGAUCCCUAGCCCUCGAAGACCCUGGUCCUGCGUACUCGGUCCGUGGCGACUUCCAGUCCACUCCCGGCGCCCAACUCGCCUAGUCUACGCGGAAGGGAACCAGAGAGCCGGAGAAAGCCCCAGGAGCUGGAGGUGGCAGGGUCCGCCCUGGAUCCCCCGGAGCAGGAUUUCUCAGCACACUUGCUCUUCCCUCCCUUCCCCUUUCUUGGGGUCUCUGUGUGUCCCCCUGUCCCGGCUCCCGUUUCCAGUCUCUCUUCUUUCUCGCUCUCUGACCCUAUUGACUCCUUGCCCGGUGUCUCGCACCGCCUUUGUCUCUGUCUCUGCCUCUCCUCGGAUCUCUGUUGGUGAAGCACCCCCCACCCCGCCCCCGCAAAGGAACACACACCGGCAGAAUCCGCCUUUUCAAUAAAAAACGACAACUGGGAAACAGAGUGAAUUAAAAAGCAUUAACUUAAAAACAAUCCAUGUGUCUGCAAAUGCGUUCCAAAUGGCAGCCCUUCGGCGGGGGUGGGGGGAGAAGGGGGGACG
Bos taurus (domestic cattle) is the source of this 3450-nucleotide long non-coding RNA. Lineage: Eukaryota; Metazoa; Chordata; Mammalia; Artiodactyla; Bovidae. The record is from Ensembl.